CCACUAAGAUGAACUAAGAGUGGAGGAGGGAAGUCCAGAAUUCUAAGAGAAGAGAAAAUGGAUAGUCGAGUGCCCAAGUGAUAGAAGGCCUCUGUAUAAUCUGCCAAUCAGCACAUCUUCACAGAGUUGAAGGGGGAACAUGUGACACCCACCCUUUCAACCUCCUGUCAAGGAGCCUCUGGGAGACAUUGGUUAUCACUGUGGCGCAGAUGGGAACAUGACCACACAGAGAGGUUACGUUAUUAUUGCCCGAGAUUGCACAACGGGUGCUGAAAUACAUCAGGCAGGAGGCAGGACAGUUUUCGGUGGACACAACAUCUUUAUUUUAUUUUUAUGUGGUGCUGAGGAUCGAACCCAGCGACUCUCGCAUGCAAGGCGAGCGCGUUACCGCUUGAGCCACAUCCCCAGCCCUCCAACACCUCUUGAUGGAUGAAUGGUUAUACAACAUAUGCACAUACAUACAAUGGAAUAUUAUCCAGUCUUAAAGGAGGGAAAUUUCUGACACGUAUUGAUUGAUAUUGGUUGAAGAGGGAAACAAUUCUACCAUGGAAAUACCAGCCCAUUGGGAAUGAAAUUCAGCCAACCUUAGCAUCUGGAGAGUUUGAGCAUGCAAGUAUGCUGAAAUAUAAAGAGAAGUCAUCACCUUGGGAAUAUUUGUACCAGGGCUGGGAAUGUAGUGCAGUGGUAGAGCACUUGCCUAGCAACCAUGAGGCCCCGAGGAUAGAACCCUCGAAUGAAAGAAAAGACAAGAGCAUGAGGCAAAGAAGAGGAGGGGAACUGGUCUGCACUGACUCAAACCAGCUGUGGAAUAUUAUGUAGGAUGACUGGAAAAAUUUGGAUAUGAUCUGUGGUUUCAGCCCUGGUCCAGAUGCUGAAAAUAUGGUAUGAAGAUAUCCCUGCAGAGUUUGCUCAACGGGGAAGAGACAGGCACAAGAGUGAGAGCGUGGCUUCCAAGGCAGGAGCAAAAGAACGAAGGGAAGACGGGGAGGCCCAGGAGGUGCGGCUCUGGUGCACACCAGAGGGAUAGCAUGUGAGGCGCUGGGCCCCAGGCUGUGCCAGACUUUGGAAGGAUGUCAUUUAUUCUGGUGCCCAAAUCAACAAGCAUUCAAGAGCCAAGGAGGAAAGCCAGGAGAGCUGGUGUUUGCAGAAGAUGAUUCUGGAAACAUGCGGAGAACCAGCUGGGAGUUAUUGGCGGACAUAACAUCUUUGUAUGUGGUGCUGAGGAUCGAACCCGGGCCGCACGCAUACAUGCCAGGCGAGCACGCUACCGCUUGAGCCACAUCCCCAGCCCAGUGCCUGUCUUCUUAAAAAAAAAUGUGCAGUGUUAUGACAAAAAUUGGCUGUGCAGCUGUUCCAUGUGCAGGAGAUUAAAAAGAUUAGAUGACUAACUGCCUUACUUACUUUAGGAUUUGAAGCCUAGCUGGAAAACAAAGGUUAAUAAAGGAUAUUAUCGGAACAACUGGCAAAAUACAGAAUGGACACUAUAUUACAUGAUAAUACCGUAAUCAUAUUAAUGUCUUCGCUGUGAUGAUUUUUCGGUGAUUGUGUGAGAAUGUCUUUGUUCUUAGGAGAUAUACUCAGAAUGGUUUAGCUGGGAGGGGUAUCUUUACAGUUCAGCAAAAAUAAGUCUCUGUGUAUUCUAGAUGACAGACACACAGAUGUACAUCCUUAUACAUCAUACACAUGUGUGUAAAUGUACACAUUCGUAUAUACACACAUGCACGUAUGGAAAAAGAGCCUGUGAGCAAAUGUGACCACGAUGGUAACAAUGGGUGGGCUUAGAUAAAAAGGUUAAUGAAGUUUAGAUGAAGUUCAUUGUCCUAUUGAUGAAACUUCUUUGUAAGUUGGACUUUUUUCCAAAACAUACUGUUCAAAAAAAUUCAGAAGCCCACCCUCCAGAGUCAGGAGGGACAGUGCUUCAGCUACUCUGAUCUCAGAUCAACGCCGGAGGCUCUGCUGAUCAGCUAAUGUGGACUAGGAAUUCGUUUUCACUCGUGAAGUUGGUGGUGUUUGUUCCCUGGGCACGGCUAGGUGCCGUGCUGACCCCUGGCAUGGGCAGGGCACAGGGAUGGAGUCAGGCCAGGGCACCAGGCUCAGACCUGAAGCAGCCACGUGCACAAGUUCUGCACUUCAGUUCCCAGAGCUGCUCCCAGAAUAGGGAUCGUCGCAUCUGCCCAGAGACAGCCUUUCCUGGAAGGUGCCAUUGGAGAACCCAGAAGCCAGAGAGCCAGGACUUAAUGGAGCCGACAGAAGAGGUUUCCAAGGGCUGUCCUGCCUGCUGAAGAUUUGCACAAGUGACAAAAUUCUGUCUGAGGACUGUCCUCCUCUUCUUCUACUACUACCUUCUCUUUUUCCUCCUCCCAUUAAUUCUGGUUUUAUUGAGGUGUGAUUUAAAUAUAAAAUCCACCCCUUUUAGGAUCAAGUUCAAUGAAUUCUGUAAAUGUACAGUCAUGCAACCACUAAGUUUUACAACUCUCCCAUCUCCCCUAGAAGUUCCCUGUUCCACUUGGUCACCAUCGCCAGCGUACCCUGACAGUGGCAUACCACUGACCUGCCUUCUGUCCCUAUAGCUCUGCCUUUACUAGAAUUUCGUACUGGAGUCAUUCAAUGUGGAGUCUGUUGUGUGUCUCCGUGGCUUGUUCCCUUCUACUGCUGAGCAGUUGUCCAUAGUAUAGAUAUCCCAUAAUUUUUCUCUUUUCAGACACUGAGGUUGUUUCUAGUUUGGCUCUUUUGAAUAAAGCUGCAAUUAAAUUAUAUUUAAAUAAUCUAAUAGUUCUCUUUUCCUUUUAAUAGACAUAAUGCUGGAAUUUCUCAUAAGGAAAAGGUAUUCCAAAUCCAAUUGAAAGUUUUAUAUUUAGUGUAUCAGAAUAGUGAGUUAAUUGGUGGUAAAGUUAAGAGUCUCAGCCAGUCUUACUUUUGAGUAUGAUGCUUUUUUUACACUAAUUGUGAUAAGAUAAACAUAAACUAACCCUCUCGACCAUUUUAGAGUAUCCUUUAGUAGCAUUAAGUACAUUCACUUUGAUGUGCCAUGGAUCUGCAGAAUUUUUUUUAUCUUGCAAAACUGAAACUCUAUAUCCAUUAAAUGGUGGCCCCCUCCAAUUUCUCCUUCCCCAUCAUUCUGCUUUUUGUUUAAAUGACUUUAACUAUGUGAGUUACCUCAUGUAACUGAA
Marmota monax (woodchuck) is the source of this 3170-nucleotide long non-coding RNA. RefSeq lists it as uncharacterized. Lineage: Eukaryota; Metazoa; Chordata; Mammalia; Rodentia; Sciuridae. The record is from RefSeq and is a predicted model, not a curated record. The transcript has 6 exons.